Molecule: ribosomal RNA, 1346 nt
Filed under: uncultured bacterium
Lineage: Bacteria
Description: partial 16S ribosomal RNA
Rfam family: Bacterial small subunit ribosomal RNA
Source: RNAcentral
GACGAACGUUGGCGGCGUGCUUAACACAUGCAAGUCGAACGGAAAGGCCCUGCUUUUGUGGGGUGCUCGAGUGGCGAACGGGUGAGUAACACGUGAGUAACCUGCCCUUGACUUUGGGAUAACUUCAGGAAACUGGGGCUAAUACCGGAUAGGAGCUCCUGCUGCAUGGUGGGGGUUGGAAAGUUUCGGCGGUUGGGGAUGGACUCGCGGCUUAUCAGCUUGUUGGUGGGGUAGUGGCUUACCAAGGCUUUGACGGGUAGCCGGCCUGAGAGGGUGACCGGCCACAUUGGGACUGAGAUACGGCCCAGACUCCUACGGGAGGCAGCAGUGGGGAAUAUUGCACAAUGGGCGAAAGCCUGAUGCAGCAACGCCGCGUGCGGGAUGACGGCCUUCGGGUUGUAAACCGCUUUCGCCUGUGACGAAGCGUGAGUGACGGUAAUGGGUAAAGAAGCACCGGCUAACUACGUGCCAGCAGCCGCGGUGAUACGUAGGGUGCGAGCGUUGUCCGGAUUUAUUGGGCGUAAAGGGCUCGUAGGUGGUUGAUCGCGUCGGAAGUGUAAUCUUGGGGCUUAACCCUGAGCGUGCUUUCGAUACGGGUUGACUUGAGGAAGGUAGGGGAGAAUGGAAUUCCUGGUGGAGCGGUGGAAUGCGCAGAUAUCAGGAGGAACACCAGUGGCGAAGGCGGUUCUCUGGGCCUUUCCUGACGCUGAGGAGCGAAAGCGUGGGGAGCGAACAGGCUUAGAUACCCUGGUAGUCCACGCUGUAAACGGUGGGUACUAGGUGUGGGGUCCAUUCCACGGGUUCCGUGCCGUAGCUAACGCUUUAAGUACCCCGCCUGGGGAGUACGGCCGCAAGGCUAAAACUCAAAGGAAUUGACGGGGCCCCGCACAAGCGGCGGAGCAUGCGGAUUAAUUCGAUGCAACGCGUAGAACCUUACCUGGGUUUGACAUGGAUCGGGAGUGCUCAGAGAUGGGUGUGCCUCUUUUGGGGUCGGUUCACAGGUGGUGCAUGGCUGUCGUCAGCUCGUGUCGUGAGAUGUUGGGUUAAGUCCCGCAACGAGCGCAACCCUUGUUCACUGUUGCCAGCACGUUAUGGUGGGGACUCAGUGGAGACCGCCGGGGUCAACUCGGAGGAAGGUGGGGAUGACGUCAAGUCAUCAUGCCCCUUAUGUCCAGGGCUUCACGCAUGCUACAAUGGCUGGUACAGAGAGUGGCGAGCCUGUGAGGGUGAGCGAAUCUCGGAAAGCCGGUCUCAGUUCGGAUUGGGGUCUGCAACUCGACCUCAUGAAGUCGGAGUCGCUAGUAAUCGCAGAUCAGCAACGCUGCGGUGAAUACGUUCCCGGGGCU